AUACCUUUCUCGGCCUUUUGGCUAAGAUCAAGUGUAGUAUCUGUUCUUAUCAGUUUAAUAUCUGAUAUGUGGGUCAUUGGCCCACAUGAUAUUAAAUUUAUUUUUUGAAGGGUGGGGCCUGACAUAGUAGCUUGCUACUGGGGGUUCUUAAGCGUAGCCUGUGUCUUGCACUACUGCAUGGGCCUGGCGCACCCUAC
Glycine soja is the source of this 197-nucleotide non-coding RNA. The record is from Rfam. NCBI's taxonomy places the organism in Eukaryota, Viridiplantae, Streptophyta, Magnoliopsida, Fabales, Fabaceae.